Molecule: ribosomal RNA, 776 nt
Filed under: uncultured Bacillota bacterium
Lineage: Bacteria; Bacillati; Bacillota
Description: bacterial SSU rRNA
Rfam family: Bacterial small subunit ribosomal RNA
Source: RNAcentral
GUAAAGGGAGCGUAGACGGUGUGGCAAGUCUGAUGUGAAAGGCAUGGGCUCAACCUGUGGACUGCAUCGGAAACUGUCAUACUUGAGUGCCGGAGGGGUAAGCGGAAUUCCUAGUGUAGCGGUGAAAUGCGUAGAUAUAUGGAAGAACACCAGUGGCGAAGGCGGCUCUCUGGUCUGCAACUGACGCUGAGGCUCGAAAGCAUGGGUAGCGAACAGGAUUAGAUACCCUGGUAGUCCAUGCCGUAAACGAUGAGUGCUAAGUGUUGGGAGGUUUCCGCCUCUCAGUGCUGCAGCUAACGCAUUAAGCACUCCGCCUGGGGAGUACGACCGCAAGGUUGAAACUCAAAGGAAUUGACGGGGGCCCGCACAAGCGGUGGAGCAUGUGGUUUAAUUCGAAGCAACGCGAAGAACCUUACCAGGUCUUGACAUCUAGUGCAAUCUGUAGAGAUACGGAGUUCCCUUCGGGGACGCUAAGACAGGUGGUGCAUGGCUGUCGUCAGCUCGUGUCGUGAGAUGUUGGGUUAAGUCCCGCAACGAGCGCAACCCUUGUUAUUAGUUGCCAGCAUUAAGUUGGGCACUCUAAUGAGACUGCCGGUGACAAACCGGAGGAAGGUGGGGAUGACGUCAAGUCAUCAUGCCCCUUAUGACCUGGGCUACACACGUGCUACAAUGGGCAGUACAACGAGAAGCAAGCCUGCGAAGGCAAGCGAAUCUCUGAAAGCUGUUCUCAGUUCGGACUGCAGUCUGCAACUCGACUGCACGAAGCUGGAAUCGCU